AAGGGACUGUCCAAUGGAUUAUGGUCUGAACAAAAUAUAAAAUUAUUGUUUUAGAUAUUAAAAACGAUUAUCGCCUUUGAUUUAAGGAUAUAAAAACUCAAAGCAGACUAAAGGAAGUAUAACACAAACCAACACAUAAGCCCAAGCGGAUGGGAAUUCCAUAUUAUAUUUCAAAAACGCCGCUCGACGUUUUUGACCUAAAAAUAAAUGUAGCUGAAAAUCAGCUGACAAGUCACGUGGUACAUGGUACUGUCAUUUAUUUUUGGCAUAGAAAUUACAUUAUUUCUAAAGAAAGAGAUUUAGCUUGUUGAGCAAAUAAUUGAUUUUCAUUGAAUAUUUUUGAUAAACCAAUAAAAUAUACUUCAUAUUUAAAUCAAUAUUUUUAUUGGAAAAUCACUUUUCACAAAUACGAAUAUGCGGUCGAAAAGAAUUCAAGAUGGUUCGGACAAAAACAAGUGCUAGCGCUAAGACUAAAAAAAAACAAGAGAUGCAAGGUACAGGCGUAAUAAAAGGGAAAGGAUAAUAGACAUUGGUAUUCAGUGUGAUCGAUGGAGAAGAGUUAAAGAAGCUACUGGGAUUGAAAAGGACGAGAAAAUGAUGGAAAUAUUGAUCGAUGCAACUACUUCUGAACUAGAGAGCUUCAACAAUCAUCUUUUGAUACGCUCCAAACCAAAGCGAAAUGCUUUCAGCUGUGCAGGUGUCAGUUAGCAGCAAUAGAUUAUUCAAAACACUUGAAUCGUCCUGUUUUGUUGGACAAAGAAGGAAAUGAGAGGAGAAAAAAGGUGUACUCAAAAGCUGCUUGUAAUUGGAGCACAAGGCCUGUGAAAAAAACAUACAUAACCGGUUUGAUCACUGAAGUUAUAAAUGAAUUCACCAUAGGCAAGAAAAGAAUAAGUGGCAAAUGUGAACAGCUGCCUGAAGACUCCAAAAGAAUUAGGUCAACUAUAGCCCCCGUCACCCCUCCACCUACAUCAAUACUUGGAGAUCAGCAUGUCUCUAGAUUGAGAAAAGCGAAAAAAUGAAUUGUUGCCCAAGACGUGUUUGAUAUUCAUUUGAAGUUGACGCAGAAGUUAUCUUUGUUAGAUAACUAUUAAGUUUCACAUCUUUAGUGUAAAUAUAAUUUUAGAAGUGUUUUGAAAAUGUACAAUCUUACAUUAUGUUAUAAAUAAUGAAUGCUCUUGGUUGUACAAUGCAAUUACAUUUUUUAGGAAGUUUUAAUAUUGAAUUUAGCAUAAAAUAUUUUUUUUAUGUUAUAUUUUGUGCGUUUUUUAUCAAUUCAUUUUUAUGCUCCCCCAAAAUUUAUUUUGGGGGGAGCAUAUAGUUGCCGCUUCGUCUGUCCGUCCGUGUGUCCGUCUGUGCACAAUUUUUGUCCAAGCUAUUUCUCAGAAAGUAAUGACCGGAAUUCAAUGAAACUUUAUGGGAAGCUUCACUACCAAGAGGAGAUGUGCAUAUUAUCAGCCGGUUCUCUUCAGAUGAUUUUUCACAGAGUUAUGGCCCUUUGAAAUUUUCCAUUGUACAUAUAGUGCAAUUCUUGUCCGGGCUAUUUCUCAGCAACUAAUGACUGGAAUUCUAUGAAACUUUAUGGGAAGCUUCACUACCAAGAGGAGAUGUGCAUAUUAUCAGCCGGUUCUCAUCCGAUGAUUUUUCACAGAGUUAUGGCCCUUUGAAAUUUUCCAUUGCACAUAUAGUGCAAUGCUUGUCCGAGCUAUUUCUCAGCAACUUAUUACAGUAAUUCAAUGAAACUUGAUGGGAAGCUUCACUACCAACAGGAGAUGUGCAUAUUAUCAGCCGGUUCUGGUCGGAUGAUUUUUCACAGAGUUAUGGCCCUUUGAAAUUUUCUAUAAACUGUACAUAUAGUGCAAUUCUUGUCCAGGCUAUUUCUCCCCAACUACUGACCGGAAUUCAAUGAAGCUUUAAUCCAUCCAUCGUAUAAUUUUGUCCACAGUUAUGCCCCUUAAGACGUUUCCUUUUAUCUGAAUAUAUAGUACAAUAUUGUGACAAAAAAACACUUUUGGGGAGCAUCACCAGUCUACACCGGUUUCUUGUUACACAUGUAAAAACUACAAUUUUUCUUACAAAAUGUUUAGUUUUUUGUUUGAUUAUCGAUAUGUGUUUUUCAUUGCCUUCUUUAUUACCUGUAUUUAAUAAACCAUUGUAGUCAAUGUCUCUAAGCCUCUUAUAAUUGACCUCGAGAGUAGUUUCCUCUUUAAUUAUCGAUACUAUGAAUGUGAUAGUGUAUCCAGAUAUGCCUCAGUGUUCUAUUUACACAUCAACAUUUAAUACUUUUUAAUGGCCAUACUCAUUUGAAAUGCAAAUCACCUAAAUAAUUAAAUGCCAGCAUCAUACACUCGAACCAACUUCAAUGAGUUCUCAACUCCUGUCACAUUUCUAUGUGCAUGUAUUGAGUUCGAUCCAUUUUCUGACACCAGAUGAAUAUAAUACAAAA
Long non-coding RNA from Dreissena polymorpha, 2446 nucleotides. RefSeq lists it as uncharacterized. NCBI's taxonomy places the organism in Eukaryota, Metazoa, Mollusca, Bivalvia, Myida, Dreissenidae. The record is from RefSeq and is a predicted model, not a curated record. The transcript is spliced from 4 exons.